This 119-nucleotide ribosomal RNA is filed under the name Pteropus alecto (black flying fox). The record is from RNAcentral. Lineage: Eukaryota; Metazoa; Chordata; Mammalia; Chiroptera; Pteropodidae.
UACUACAGCCAUGCUACCCUGAACAAGCCCGAUCUCGUCUGAUCUUGGAAGCUAAGCAGGGUUGGACCUGGUUAGUACUUGGAUAGGAGACCACCUAGGAAGACCAGGGGCAGUAGGCA